Molecule: ribosomal RNA, 468 nt
Filed under: uncultured bacterium
Lineage: Bacteria
Description: partial 16S ribosomal RNA
Rfam family: Bacterial small subunit ribosomal RNA
Source: RNAcentral
GACGAACGCUGGCGGCGUGCUUAACACAUGCAAGUCGAACGGAAAGGCCCUGCUUUUGUGGGGUGCUCGAUUGGCGAACGGGUGAGUAACACGUGAGUAACCUGCCCUUGACUUUGGGAUAACUUCAGGAAACUGGGGCUAAUACCGGAUAGGAGCUCCUGCUGCAUGGUGGGGGUUGGAAAGUUUCGGCGGUUGGGGAUGGACUCGCGGCUUAUCAGCUUGUUGGUGGGGUAGUGGCUUACCAAGGCUUUGACGGGUAGCCGGCCUGAGAGGGUGACCGGCCACAUUGGGACUGAGGUACGGCCCAGACUCCUACGGGAGGCAGCAGUGGGGAAUAUUGCACAAUGGGCGGAAGCCUGAUGCAGCGACGCCGCGUGCGGGAUGACGGCCUUCGGGUUGUAAACCGCUUUCGCCUGUGACGAAGCGUGAGUGACGGUAAUGGGUAAAGAAGCACCGGCUAACUACGUG